Molecule: small RNA, 580 nt
Filed under: Pongo abelii (Sumatran orangutan)
Lineage: Eukaryota; Metazoa; Chordata; Mammalia; Primates; Hominidae
Description: processed transcript
Source: RNAcentral
AUUGGGGCUUCAUUGUUCCCGCUGGGCCGGGCGGUUUAGUGUAAUUGCCGCCGGAGGAGGAGGCGGAGUAACCUCUGGUCAGCCGAGAAACCCCACUAUCCCGUAGCCAUAACCGCUUAAACGAUUUGGGAGGUAGUGAAGGGCAGGGAGCUGGACCCGGAGGCGCCGGCCGCGACAGCAGCAGCCAUGGAGGACGAGAUGCCCAAGACUCUGGCCUGUGAAAAAUGGAACCAAAUUCUCUGAGGACUAAAGUCCCAGCUUUCUUAUCUGAUUUGGGGAAGGCCACAUUGAGGGGAAUCAGAAAGUGUCCCCGAUGUGGCACAUACAAUGGAACCCGGGGACUGAGCUGUAAGAACAAGACAUGUGGAACCAUAUUCCGCUACGGUGCACGCAAGCAGCCUAGUGUUGAAGCUGUCAAAAUCAUUACAGGCUCUGAUCUUCAGGUCUACUCAGUGCGGCAAAGAGACCGGGGCCCUGAUUACCGAUGCUUUGUGGAGCUCGGGGUUUCAGAGACGACAAUCCAGACAGUGGAUGGGACGAUCAUCACUCAGCUGAGCUCUGGACGGUGUUAUGUCCCCUC